This 392-nucleotide unclassified non-coding RNA is filed under the name fungal sp. Its description in RNAcentral is "partial internal transcribed spacer region". The stretch from base 1 to 46 matches the Rfam family "Eukaryotic small subunit ribosomal RNA", at positions 1786 to 1831 of the family's 1831-position model. The record is from RNAcentral. Lineage: Eukaryota; Fungi.
AAGUCGUAACAAGGUUUCCGUAGGUGAACCUGCGGAAGGAUCAUUAACACGUAUCCAAACGUUAAAACCCCCCCCGUGAACCUUCAUCUCUGGUAAAUCAUAGCCCGGAAAGUAGUUUGAUUCAGAGACCUCUGGCCCGUGCGAACAUUGGAACAGUUACAAUCGACUGCGGUAGUUCUAUAGGCAUUGUUUCCCCAAGCAGUCAGUGUCUGAAAGUGUCAUUGAUUGUGCAAGGAUAGCGCUUCACGAUUCCUGCAGACCGUACACUCGGGCAGGAGCUAUGCCAAAGGGUCCCCAUGCCCCCUUAUAACCCCACAGUUUAAUGUGAAGCUCAAUGUAAUACAUUGGGUAAAAAAACCGAACAACUGUUAACAAUGGAUAUCUUGGUUCUC